CGGACGGGUGAGUAAUGUCUGGGAAACUGCCCGAUGGAGGGGGAUAACUACUGGAAACGGUAGCUAAUACCGCAUAACGUCGCAAGACCAAAGAGGGGGACCUUCGGGCUCUUGCCAUCGGAUGUGCCCAGAUGGGAUUAGCUAGUAGGUGGGGUAACGGCUCACCUAGGCGACGAUCCCUAGCUGGUCUGAGAGGAUGACCAGCCACACUGGAACUGAGACACGGUCCAG
This 231-nucleotide ribosomal RNA is filed under the name uncultured bacterium. Its description in RNAcentral is "partial 16S ribosomal RNA". It matches the Rfam family "Bacterial small subunit ribosomal RNA", at positions 99 to 334 of the family's 1533-position model. The record is from RNAcentral.